CAGGAGGACCGGGCGGUCGCUGCCGGAGAUCUCUGUGAAAGCAGGGGUGGCCGGGAGAGGAAAGUCCGAACUCCGCAGGGCAGUGUGCCGGAUAACGUCCGGGACGUGAGCGUAAAGGCUCACGGACGGCCAGUGCCACAGAAAACAUACCGCCUCUGCACCCUCCUUUGGGGGGCGUUCGGGGCUCCCGAUGGACUUGUCCAAGGGGCUGCCCCACGCAGUGGUAAGGGUGAAAAGGUGCGGUAAGAGCGCACCGCGCUGGCAGUAAUGUCAGUGGCAGGGUAAACCCCACACGGAGCAAGACCAAAUAGGGAGGGAAACCGGGGCCAGGAGCCAGGCGCCGGUUGCGCAUCGGCCCGAUGCGGCAAGGCGGUUCCGGAACACGCUAAAACCUCCGGGUAGGUCGCUGAUGAGCGCCCGCGGCAACGCGGCGCCUAGAGGAAUGACCGCAUAAAACAGAAUUCGGCUUACGAGUCCUUUUGCCGA
RNAcentral lists this RNase P RNA (486 nucleotides) under Candidatus Sulfuritelmatomonas gaucii. RNAcentral describes it as "Candidatus Sulfotelmatomonas gaucii RNaseP_bact_a". It matches the Rfam family "Bacterial RNase P class A". From Rfam's summary of the family: Ribonuclease P (RNase P) is a ubiquitous endoribonuclease, found in archaea, bacteria and eukarya as well as chloroplasts and mitochondria. Lineage: Bacteria; Pseudomonadati; Acidobacteriota; Terriglobia; Terriglobales; Acidobacteriaceae. The record is from RNAcentral.